AACUAUUUUCCUAAUAAUAUGAAAUAACUACGUAACAUGCUGGAGUCCAAAAGGUGUGAACUACUUGCCCAAAAUGCGACUUGGUCUAAACUGAUGAUUGGCCAAUCAAAUCCAAUAAUUGUAGUGCCAUGCAUGGAAAUCUUGAAUUGGAUUAUUGGGCUGUUUCAGCAACGUAAAUUUUGCAAUGAAGUGCUACAUUAAUUCUGUAACCGAUGGAAUAAAAAAUAACCUUAUAUACCUUUGUGAUUGUCAGCUUAGAACAUGAAUCAGCACUUUGGGAUAAUUACAUCUCCAUGAGAUAAUCACUUACUCACAACCUGCUGCCAAUUAUUUUAUUAGAACCAUAACAGUGCUAAUAAUUGACCAUUUGGAUUAAUAGCCAAAUUAUUUUACUAGGAAAAUAGCAUGCUUGUUUGGAAUUAAAAAAUGAAUAAAAUAUUCAUUUUUUUAUAUGUUUCCUUCCACAUGCUUAAUGAGCUCUUGAUCUCAUCA
RNAcentral lists this long non-coding RNA (492 nucleotides) under Medicago truncatula (barrel medic). RNAcentral's name for it is "long non-coding RNA (MTRU_LNC000133)". Lineage: Eukaryota; Viridiplantae; Streptophyta; Magnoliopsida; Fabales; Fabaceae. The record is from RNAcentral.